GUGCUCACUUCAGCAUCGCAUAUUCUAAAGUUGUUACAAUACAGAGGAGAUUAGCAUGGCCCUGCUCAAGAAUGACAUGCAAAUUCAUGAAAUUGUCCACAAAGAA
Small nuclear RNA from Perognathus longimembris pacificus (Pacific pocket mouse), 106 nucleotides. The record is from RefSeq and is a predicted model, not a curated record. Lineage: Eukaryota; Metazoa; Chordata; Mammalia; Rodentia; Heteromyidae.